CCGGUAAACGGCGGCCGUAACUAUAACGGUCCUAAGGUAGCGAAAUUCCUUGUCGGGUAAGUUCCGACCUGCACGAAUGGCGUAAUGAUGGCCAGGCUGUCUCCACCCGAGACUCAGUGAAAUUGAACUCGCUGUGAAGAUGCAGUGUACCCGCGGCAAGACGGAAAGACCCCGUGAACCUUUACUAUAGCUUGACACUGAACAUUGAGCCUUGAUGUGUAGGAUAGGUGGGAGGCUUUGAAGUGUGGACGCCAGUCUGCAUGGAGCCGGCCUUGAAAUACCACCCUUUAAUGUUUGAUGUUCUAACGUUGGCCCCUGACCGGGGUUGCGGACAGUGUCUGGUGGGUAGUUUGACUGGGGCGGUCUCCUCCUAAAGAGUAACGGAGGAGCACGAAGGUUGGCUAAUCCUGGUCGGACAUCAGGAGGUUAGUGCAAUGGCAUAAGCCAGCUUGACUGCGAGCGUGACGGCGCGAGCAGGUGCGAAAGCAGGUCAUAGUGAUCCGGUGGUUCUGAAUGGAAGGGCCAUCGCUCAACGGAUAAAAGGUACUCCGGGGAUAACAGGCUGAUACCGCCCAAGAGUUCAUAUCGACGGCGGUGUUUGGCACCUCGAUGUCGGCUCAUCACAUCCUGGGGCUGAAGUAGGUCCCAAGGGUAUGGCUGUUCGCCAUUUAAAGUGGUACGCGAGCUGGGUUUAGAACGUCGUGAGACAGUUCGGUCCCUAUCUGCCGUGGGCGCUGGAGAACUGAGGGGGGCUGCUCCUAGUACGAGAGGACCGGAGUGGACGCAUCACUGGUGUUCGGGUUGUCAUGCCA
This 812-nucleotide ribosomal RNA is filed under the name Escherichia coli. Its description in RNAcentral is "partial 23S ribosomal RNA". It matches the Rfam family "Bacterial large subunit ribosomal RNA", at positions 1920 to 2731 of the family's 2925-position model. The record is from RNAcentral. Lineage: Bacteria; Pseudomonadati; Pseudomonadota; Gammaproteobacteria; Enterobacterales; Enterobacteriaceae.